Molecule: long non-coding RNA, 1520 nt
Filed under: Parus major (Great Tit)
Lineage: Eukaryota; Metazoa; Chordata; Aves; Passeriformes; Paridae
Description: lncRNA (ENSPMJG00000009414.1)
Source: RNAcentral
GUGGUUGAUGUGGGGAGGGAGAUUUUUUUAUUUGGGUUUGUUUUUUGUGGGUUUUUUUUUUUGUGUUUUGCAGAUCCCAGGCUGGGAUUUUUCCAAGGAAAUCAGGGGAAAUACGUGGGGAACAAAAAGUGGUGGGAUUUGCUCCAGUUGCACGUUUCAGUGAUAGAAUUUUAAAUAUCAUUUCUUAUUAAAAAAAGCUAAAAAAUCUCACUUGCCAAACUCCCAGUUCCCUAAAAAUGCUGGAAUAGGAGGAAAAUUUGUUGUUUCAGCUUUUCCAGGAAUAACCAAAGCUCUUGGUUUGGGGGAGCAGAUUCCAGUUCUGGGGAUCUCAGGAAUUCUUCCACCACGGUGGAAAAAAAAGACAAGGGAAAAAAAACCCAAAAAACCCCAGAAUUUUGGGAAAGGCUCAUCCAGAAAUUCUUUGGCACUCUGGUAAUGGACAGGGAAAAUAAAAUUUUUUUAAAAAAAAGGAAAAUACAGAAGAAUUUUGUUGUUUUGAAGGGAAAAAUGAGGGAAUAAAGGAGGAAAAAACCAAGGAAAAGAGCGGAAAGAGACAGGAAAAAAAGCAAAACCAUGAAAUGAAACGACCCAAACUCUCCCCUCUUGCCCAAGCCUGGGGUUGAGACGUUCUUGAACUCCCACAGGAGGUUUGGGCUGAACUUUCAUCAACUGCACCCAAGAUGUUUCCUGGGCUUUGCAAGAUCCCCUCUGUCCCAGGGCAGAUAAAUCCUGGAGCUGCUAUCUCCAAAAUUCCUCCUUCCCAGCCCUCCACAGAGCUCAGCUUUCUCCUGGUUUUUUUGGUUUUUUUUUAAUUAUUAUCAGUUUUCACCUCCCUUUUCCUCCUUUUAUCAACGUGGGAGCACCUUGGGGAUAUUUGCAUGAAGAUAAGGAAUGGUGGGGCUGGCUGAGGACAUCAGAUCUCCAGGGAAAAGCAAAUUACAGCCUCAGGAGGGGUUGAAUUCUGUGUUUUAAUUCCUUCAUAAAAUGCCUGACUCGACAGAGUCUUGGAUGCUUCACGUGUUGGACACUGCUUGGCUCCUGUUCUCAGAGAGAUUUUUCCUCCUUCCCUCCCUUUCCGUGAUGCACCACAGAAAAAUCAUUGAGGAACAGAGCAACUCUCCCCUAAAAGUGGGUUUUAUUAAUUGAUAUUUUAUGUGAAAUUGCUUGUAGGGAGCUGCAGGUGCUUUUGUUGUGUUUUCUGCUGCCUUUCCCACUGAUUUUUCUCCAUCUCCACCCCAAAAAACCUGCCAUUUUUAUCUCCUGUUUGUCAAGAACGCCAGAACCUUUCCUCCCCACCCUCAGCCUUGUCACCAGAACGAGAAAGGAAAUUAAUUUGCCCCAGACCAUCCUGUUUAUGCAAUUACAGAAUUAGCCGGCUUCACUUCUGCCUGAGGAGCGAAACAACCUCCACCCUCCCGCUUAUUUAUCACCAAUCGCUGAGGUUUCCGCAUUAAAAAUACCCUCAGACCCCUUCAGGACUUAUUUCAACUUCAAUAAAACUUAAAGGCUUGAAAGAAUCA